Molecule: transfer RNA, 71 nt
Filed under: Heterocephalus glaber (naked mole-rat)
Lineage: Eukaryota; Metazoa; Chordata; Mammalia; Rodentia; Bathyergidae
Rfam family: tRNA
About the family: Transfer RNA (tRNA) molecules are approximately 80 nucleotides in length. Their secondary structure includes four short double-helical elements and three loops (D, anti-codon, and T loops).
Source: Rfam by way of RNAcentral
GGGCAAGUAGUUCAGUGGUAGAAUACUUGCUUAGCAUGUAUGAGGCCCUGAGUUCAAUCUCAGUAUCACCA